GCCCCCGUAGCUCAGCAGGAUAGAGCAACUGAUUCCUAAUCAGUAGGUCACGUGUUCGAAUCACGUCGGGGGUACGA
Molecule: transfer RNA, 77 nt
Filed under: Bacteroidota bacterium
Lineage: Bacteria; Pseudomonadati; Bacteroidota
Description: Bacteroidetes bacterium (marine metagenome) tRNA-Arg
Rfam family: tRNA
About the family: Transfer RNA (tRNA) molecules are approximately 80 nucleotides in length.
Source: RNAcentral